UUUUUUUCCAACUUUUUUGUCUUUUUUAAUUUUCGCUUUUUUUUCUUUUUGUUAGCUUACUUAUUUUCUUCUAUUUUUUUCAAUCUUUUUCAUAUUACCUUUACUCAUAUCAAUGGUUAUUUUUUUUACAACCAUAAUUAUUUAACCAAAUAAUUAUAAUUAUAAGUUUUCGUGAGUAAAAUUAACAAUUUUCGUGAAAAAAGUAAUAAUUUUGAAAUAUUACAUUUAUUCUUAUGAAUAAUA
RNAcentral lists this long non-coding RNA (243 nucleotides) under Salvia miltiorrhiza (redroot sage). Its description in RNAcentral is "long non-coding RNA (SMIL_LNC008954)". The record is from RNAcentral. Lineage: Eukaryota; Viridiplantae; Streptophyta; Magnoliopsida; Lamiales; Lamiaceae.